This is a long non-coding RNA of Saimiri boliviensis boliviensis (Bolivian squirrel monkey), 839 nucleotides long. RefSeq lists it as uncharacterized. The record is from RefSeq and is a predicted model, not a curated record. NCBI's taxonomy places the organism in Eukaryota, Metazoa, Chordata, Mammalia, Primates, Cebidae.
GCAGAAGUGAACCGGGGGGUGCCUGGAAGAGGGAGGAAGGACCUCAGCUUGAAGCGCCUUUUGUUCAGUCUGGUUAUUGAGCGCUCGCAGAGUCCCAGGGUGUGCCUGCGCGAAAGGGGGACACCGGCUCAGGCUGGCGGCUCCCGGGGCAGCUGAGGGACCAUGACUAGGAACGUUGAGGGUCUCAGGGCUGCAGGGGAAGAAUCGUGACUGUCCAUACAUUGUUCAAAGCCAACCGGUUUCCUUCAUCAGCCGCUGCUGUCGGAUUCCCUAAGUCACCUCCUCUACACCACCUCUCUCAAAGAAGUAGAGACCAGAUAGAAUUUGAAUGGAAGGCCGCCCGAUGUUACCUGCUUCCAUAGGCUUUUGGCAUCCCUAUUCUUCCCAGUGCAGUCAGCCAACUCUCUCUGCUGUAUCCUAGAGCACCUGGAGGUUAAUGAUCAGUGCUGGAGUGGGACACACAGGAUAAAAGCAAGUAUCGGAGGUACCACCUAUAGGAUGCAGUGAGAAAGACAGCAUCACUUCUGCAAUAUUCCUGCACAUGACGAAGAACCUGAAUCUAAUCACAAGGAAACACUGAAUGAGCCCAAGUUAAGGGACAUUCUAGGAAGUAACUGGCUCAUAAUCUAUAAAAGUGCAAUUGAAGUUAAGAACAGAUUAAAGAACUGUUCCAGAUUUUAAAAGACCAGAAAUAACAGAACUAAAUGUGAUAGGUGAUUCUGUAUCUGAUCGUUUUGCCAUAAAAACAUUAUUAGGCACACUGGUGAAACUUGAAUAGAGUCUGUGCUAUGGAUUAGCUGCCAGUAAUCUACCAGUGUUAAUUUCCUGAUUUUGAUUGU